RNAcentral lists this long non-coding RNA (1369 nucleotides) under Calidris pugnax (ruff). Its description in RNAcentral is "lncRNA (ENSCPUG00000000461.1)". The record is from RNAcentral. Lineage: Eukaryota; Metazoa; Chordata; Aves; Charadriiformes; Scolopacidae.
CCCAGCCCUCCCUCCUGCUCACUGUCCGGCUGCGUUAACCCUUGCUGUUUGGGGGUCCCAGGGGCACACCCUGGCACUGGGCAAAGCCUGACUGCUUUUUUUACCCCUCGCCCAGGGGCAGAGGGGCAGGAGAGGAGAGCUGGGCACCCUGCAAGCACAAAGGCUCCUUCCUGGAGCAGGGCGGGCGAGAGUGGCUCCCUGGCACACAUCCAGCCAUCUCCCCUCUGCGCUCACCUUUGGAGCUGAUGGGAAGGUGUAUGCACCGACUCUCCUCUCCCUGAGGGUCCCUAGACCCCCCCCCCAGCUAAUCAGGCAGCCCAUGGGGGUCCCUGCCCCACUCGCACAGGGGUACAGCAUGCAGGAUCAGACCCUGCUCGCUCAAACUCCCCCCUUCCUCCCCAAACUCAGAGCCCUGACCUCUUCCUCCCCUACUCCCUGCAGCCCAGGCUGCCGUGCAACUAUAAUAAUUUCCUUCUCCCUCCUUUUUUUUUUUUUUUGCUUAAACCGUGAAGAUCUGAACUUGCUCCCCCCGCCCCAUCCUCGGCUUCCCCUUCCCCCUCCUCCUCCCCUUGUCUCUCCUCAUAAUAUUAUCCUUGAUCACUGCCCGGGGUUUGAAGCCCAGAAGUCAGAAGCUGUGCAUCCCCACCCCCACCAGCUCCAGUGUGCACUGAUAGGGCCCUCGCUGCUGGCACCUAGUCAAGCUGAGGUGUCAUUGGGAUCUCAAAUUGCAGCUAGGGGCUGGCAGGCAGCCAGAGGCAGUCUAUUUAAAAGACAGCCUGUUCUGCAGUAUUCAGUCUCUUUAGAAACUUCUCCAGGGGAAAAGUGUUGGGAGAUCUACAAAGUGGAUUUUUUUUUCUCUCUCUUUUCUUUUUUUUUUUUUCCCCCCUUCCCCCUGAUUUUUACCGCUCCUCUGCAGGCUUUGCAACAAAACACUCCAACUUUGCAGAAAACUUUUUCUCUUUUUGCCUUUUUUUUGGCUUUUUUUUUCCCUGCCUUUUUUUUUUUUUUUUUUUUCCUUUGCAAAUCUUGGAAGAGGAAAGCGGGAGGGUUGAACAGAGCCGAUCGAAACACAACUUUGCUUCAUACCAAGCUUCCCAGCAGUUCGCUGCGUCGGGAGAGACUUCUUCUCCUCUUGCAGAAGAAGAGAGAGGGAAGGGGAGCUUUGCAUCCCCUCUUCCUUCUCCUGCGGGUUUUUUUUUUUCUCCCCCCUCCCUCUUGCCUGCUUUGAUGCACUAAUAGCAGGACACUGGUUUUCAAGGAACUUUGCUCCCUUCCCAACCUGCCUCCUCCCAGAGUGUGUGUGAGUGCGUGUGCGUGUGUGAAAUCGCCGUCCCACCUCCCCAUACCCCCCUGCUCCCCCCCCCCCCCC